GAUGAACGCUGGCGGCGUGCCUAAUACAUGCAAGUCGAGCGAACAGAUAAGGAGCUUGCUCCUUUGAAGUUAGCGGCGGAAGGGGGAGUAAAACGUGGGUAACCUACCUAUAAGACUGGGAUAACUUCGGGAAACCGGAGCUAAUACCGGAUAACAUUUAGAACCGCAUGGUUCUAAAGUGAAAGAUGGUUUUGCUAUCACUUAUAGAUGGACCCGCGCCGUAUUAGCUAGUUGGUAAGGUAACGGCUUACCAAGGCGACGAUACGUAGCCGACCUGAGAGGUUGAUCGGCCACACUGGAACGGGGACACGGCCCAGACUCCUACGGGAGGCAGCAGUAGGGAAUCUUCCGCAAUGGGCGAAAGCCUGACGGAGCACCGCCGCGUGAGUGAUGAAGGGUUUCGGCUCGUAAACCUCUGUUAUUAGGGAAGAACACAUGUGUACGUAACUGUGCACAUCUUGACGGUACCUAAUCAGAAAGCCACGGCUAACUACGUG
This 497-nucleotide ribosomal RNA is filed under the name uncultured bacterium. RNAcentral's name for it is "partial 16S ribosomal RNA". It matches the Rfam family "Bacterial small subunit ribosomal RNA", at positions 28 to 507 of the family's 1533-position model. The record is from RNAcentral.